UACGAAGGGUGCAAACGUUGCUCGGAAUUAUUGGGCGUAAAGCGCACGUAGGCGGCUUUGUAAGUCGGAUGUGAAAUCCCUCGGCUUAACCAAGGAAGUGCAUCCGAAACUACAGAGCUUGAGUACUUAAGAGGAUCGCGGAAUUCCCGGUGUAGAGGUGAAAUGCGUAGAUAUCGGGAGGAACACCUGUGGCGAAAGCGGCUCACUGGACCACAACUGACGCUGAGGCGCGAAAGCUAGGGGAGCAAACAGG
RNAcentral lists this ribosomal RNA (253 nucleotides) under uncultured bacterium. RNAcentral's name for it is "partial 16S ribosomal RNA". It matches the Rfam family "Bacterial small subunit ribosomal RNA", at positions 524 to 776 of the family's 1533-position model. The record is from RNAcentral.